GACGAACGCUGGCGGCGUGCUUAACACAUGCAAGUCGAACGGAAAGGCCCUGCUUUUGUGGGGUGCUCGAGUGGCGAACGGGUGAGUAACACGUGAGUAACCUGCCCUUGACUUUGGGAUAACUUCAGGAAACUGGGGCUAAUACCGGAUAGGAGCUCCUGCUGCAUGGUGGGGGUUGGAAAGUUUCGGCGGUUGGGGAUGGACUCGCGGCUUAUCAGCUUGUUGGUGGGGUAGUGGCUUACCAAGGCUUUGACGGGUAGCCGGCCUGAGAGGGUGAUCGGCCACAUUGGGACUGAGAUACGGCCCAGACUCCUACGGGAGGCAGCAGUGGGGAAUAUUGCACAAUGGGCGGAAGCCUGAUGCAGCAGCGCCGCGUGCGGGAUGACGGCCUUCGGGUUGUAAACCGCUUUCGCCUGUGACGAAGCGUGAGUGACGGUAAUGGGUAAAGAAGCACCGGCUAACUACGUG
RNAcentral lists this ribosomal RNA (468 nucleotides) under uncultured bacterium. RNAcentral describes it as "partial 16S ribosomal RNA". It matches the Rfam family "Bacterial small subunit ribosomal RNA", at positions 28 to 507 of the family's 1533-position model. The record is from RNAcentral.